UAGCUGCUGGCUCCAAAGGUUCAGGUAGUGCGAUGGAGGAAAGAGGGGAGCACCAGCACGUUGCCCCUGUCUUUGGCCCCUUCAGUGGGUGAAACACAUUUAGGUCAGCUGUACUGGAAUACAUCUGCUACCUCAAGACAACGGGAACGGCUUGGAGAAAGAAGACCCUAGGAUUUUUCUGACAGCAGCCGCCAGAGGAAGGAACACAGCUAAUAUGAUAGCCAAUCUAUGGGAACAUCACUCAGGGGUUGCAGCAUCUGGGUCACUCUGGGCAGUGCCCGCCACAUAUCCUUGGCAACCCACAGGCUGGAUCCUACCUCGUUCUAUGGAGAUGGACUGAACUGUUAAACCAGAGUUUCCAGUGAUGGGCGGUGUCCUGCCCUAGCUGCUAAUACAGUGGAUCCACAGUGAUCUGUAUUUUUCAAUAAAGGCUUUGAGUUA
Molecule: long non-coding RNA, 441 nt
Organism: Cyprinodon tularosa
Lineage: Eukaryota; Metazoa; Chordata; Actinopteri; Cyprinodontiformes; Cyprinodontidae
Exons: 3
Source: RefSeq, a predicted model, not a curated record